Molecule: unclassified non-coding RNA, 363 nt
Filed under: soil metagenome
Description: partial contains 5.8S ribosomal RNA, internal transcribed spacer 2, and large subunit ribosomal RNA
Rfam family: 5.8S ribosomal RNA (bases 1-120)
Source: RNAcentral
GAUGAAGAACGCAGCGAAAUGCGAUAAGUAAUGUGAAUUGCAGAAUUCAGUGAAUCAUCGAAUCUUUGAACGCACAUUGCGCCCGGCAGCAAUCUGCCGGGCAUGCCUGUCCGAGCGUCAUUUCUCCCCUCGAGCGCUGCCGUCCCCCCCGGGGGCCGGCAGCCGCCCGGCGUUGGGGCCCUGCGGGCGCGAGCCCGCAGCCCCCGAAAUGAAGUGGCGGCCCCGCCGCGGCGCCCCCUGCGUAGUAGUUUCUAUCUCGCAUCGGGACCCGGCGAAGGCCAGCCGUCGAACCCUUUUUCUAUGGUUUGACCUCGGAUCAGGUAGGGUUACCCGCUGAACUUAAGCAUAUCAAUAAGCGGAGGA